CUUCGACAGGUUCUUCUUUGAUGCAGAGGUCUAAGGGCUGCACUGGCGUCGUCAACGGCUUUUCGGGUGUGACCGAGCUCUUGACAGGACUGGCGUCUUCAAGGCCCUCCUCCGGACACAGUGAGCUGUUUGAGAUGUGCGGUGCUGGAGUGGAUGAGCUCGUCCAGGGAUUGCUCCGCUCUUUCCAGGUCUCCCAGCUCUUUCCUCAAAGCUCGAGCCUUCUCUCCUCCGCUGGCACCGCCUUCGAACACAUCUCCCACCCUGCAGGAAACAAGAGAACUGAGUUUUUGUCCAAAGAAAAUGUGUUUACUUUUAAUACAUGCAGACCUUUAGGAGAUCAGGCCCUGAAUAUCCUCCAAGAAACACACAAGACUGGUCUUUGAGUAUUGUAGUCAAGUCAUUUUCAAAAGGACAUCAGUGGCCCAGUUCAGGUCCAAAACUCCGUCUGGAGACUCGGCAAUGAGGCCCACAAAUUUUUUAGUCAGCAGGCCCAGCGAGGUGUCGUAUCUUGUCCGCUCGCCUGGCGACUUUGGAGCUGAAGGCAACGACCAGAGACUUUUCUUACAAAACAGUAACUUGUUUUAAAGUGAUGAUAUUAAUAAAAAGUCAUGUUCUCACUUCUUGGACUUGCUGCAAUGAUGCCUUUGCCUUUAGGGGUGCGGAACUCAGGGAGGAAAAUUGGAUCUUCAAGAUCCAGCUUCCUUUUAGCCUAAAAGAAGCAGAGACAUGCAUAUUGUUUUAAUAAUACACGUUUAUUGUCACAAUCAGACAAGAGUACACCCGUUGCCUUCAAG
This is a long non-coding RNA of Entelurus aequoreus (snake pipefish), 794 nucleotides long. RefSeq lists it as uncharacterized. The record is from RefSeq and is a predicted model, not a curated record. Lineage: Eukaryota; Metazoa; Chordata; Actinopteri; Syngnathiformes; Syngnathidae. The transcript has 3 exons.